Molecule: microRNA precursor, 103 nt
Filed under: Marmota monax (woodchuck)
Lineage: Eukaryota; Metazoa; Chordata; Mammalia; Rodentia; Sciuridae
Source: RNAcentral
UUAUAAGUCACCUGGGGGUCUUGUUAAAAUGCAGAUCGUGGUUCAGCAGGUCUGAAGUGGGACUGAGUUCUACAUUUCUAAGAAGUGUACAGGAGUUGCCAGU